GUGAGGAAUUUUCCGCAAUGGGCGAAAGCCUGACGGAGCAAUGCCGCGUGAAGGAUGAAGGCCUAUGGGUUGUAAACUUCUUUUCUCAGAAAAGAAUUAUGACGGUAUCUGAGGAAUAAGCAUCGGCUAACUCUGUGCCAGCAGCCGCGGUAAGACAGAGGAUGCAAGCGUUAUCCGGAAUGAUUGGGCGUAAAGCGUCUGUAGGUUGUUUAAAAAGUAUUCUGUCAAAGAUUGGGGCUUAACCCUAGAUAGGCAGAAUAAACUUUUAAGCUAGAGUUUGGUAGAGGCAGAGGGAAUUCCCGGUGGAGCGGUGAAAUGCGUAGAUAUCGGGAGGAACACCAAAGGCGAAGGCACUCUGCUGGGCCAAUACUAACACUGAGAGACGAAAGCGAGGGGAGCAAAUGGGAUUAGAUACCCGAGUAGUCC
Molecule: ribosomal RNA, 426 nt
Filed under: uncultured bacterium
Lineage: Bacteria
Description: partial 16S ribosomal RNA
Rfam family: Bacterial small subunit ribosomal RNA
Source: RNAcentral